UACGUAGGUGGCAAGCGUUGUCCGGAAUUACUGGGCGUAAAGGGCGUGUAGGCGGCCUUUUAAGUCAGACGUGAAAUCCCUGGGCUUAACCCAGGAAUUGCGUUUGAAACUGGAGGGCUUGAGGAUCGGAGAGGGCAGUGGAAUUCCCAGUGUAGCGGUGAAAUGCGUAGAUAUUGGGAGGAACACCAGUGGCGAAGGCGACUGCCUGGACGACACCUGACGCUGAGGCGCGAAAGCUAGGGGAGCAAACGGG
This 253-nucleotide ribosomal RNA is filed under the name uncultured bacterium. Its description in RNAcentral is "partial 16S ribosomal RNA". It matches the Rfam family "Bacterial small subunit ribosomal RNA", at positions 524 to 776 of the family's 1533-position model. The record is from RNAcentral.